AGGAUGAACGCUGGCGGCGUGCUUAACACAUGCAAGUCAAGGGGGCCCAGCAAUGGGCAACCGGCGAACGGGUGCGUAACGCGUGAGCAACCUACCGAAUUGUGGGGGAUAGCCGGCCCAACGGCCGGGUAAUACCGCAUACGCUCGAGACCAGGCAUUUGGACUCGAGGAAAUUUACGGAGCAAUUCGAGGGGCUCGCGGCCUAUCAGCUAGUUGGUGAGGUAACGGCUCACCAAGGCGACGACGGGUAGC
Molecule: ribosomal RNA, 252 nt
Filed under: uncultured soil bacterium
Lineage: Bacteria
Description: partial 16S ribosomal RNA
Rfam family: Bacterial small subunit ribosomal RNA
Source: RNAcentral